UACGAAGGUGGCAAGCGUUAAUCGGAAUUACUGGGCGUAAAGCGUGCGCAGGCGGUUUUGUAAGACAGAUGUGAAAUCCCCGGGCUUAACCUGGGAACUGCGUUUGUGACUGCAAGACUCGAGUACGGCAGAGGGGGGUGGAAUUCCACGUGUAGCAGUGAAAUGCGUAGAGAUGUGGAGGAACACCGAUGGCGAAGGCAGCCCCCUGGGUCGAUACUGACGCUCAUGCACGAAAGCGUGGGGAGCAAACAGG
RNAcentral lists this ribosomal RNA (253 nucleotides) under uncultured prokaryote. RNAcentral's name for it is "partial 16S ribosomal RNA". It matches the Rfam family "Bacterial small subunit ribosomal RNA", at positions 524 to 776 of the family's 1533-position model. The record is from RNAcentral.